GGGAGAGCCGCGGGCUUUGCGGCCGCCGCCAUGCCGUCGUCCCCGCUGCGGGUGGCAGUGGUGUGCUCGAGCAACCAGAACCGGAGCAUGGAGGCGCACAACAUCCUCAGCAAACGGGGAUUCAGUGUCCGAUCCUUUGGAACAGGGACUCACGUGAAGCUUCCAGGACCAGCUCCCGACAAGCCCAAUGUUUAUGAUUUCAAAACCACAUAUGACCAGAUGUACAAUGAUCUUCUUAGGAAAGACAAAGAACUCUAUACACAGAAUGGGAUUUUACAUAUGCUGGACAGAAAUAAGAGAAUCAAGCCCCGGCCAGAAAGGUUCCAGAACUGCAAAGACCUGUUUGAUCUGAUCCUCACUUGCGAAGAGAGAGUGUAUGACCAGGUGGUGGAAGGUGAGGAGGCGGCUGCGCGCUGGGCUGGGCUCCAGCAGCUCUCACAGGGUCUGGGGACACCUGCGGGGCCCCACCCUGACCACAGCCGGUCUAGAGUGGCGGGGGCCAGGGGGCAGACCUGAGUGCGAAGCACCCUGGAAGGCAGGGGGGGCUGCUGGUCGCUGAACCACCCAUGUCCUGGCUACAGCCUCGUGGGCUUCAAGGGGGCUCUUUUCUCCUCGU
RNAcentral lists this small RNA (616 nucleotides) under Pongo abelii (Sumatran orangutan). Its description in RNAcentral is "retained intron". Lineage: Eukaryota; Metazoa; Chordata; Mammalia; Primates; Hominidae. The record is from RNAcentral.